AUAUACGCUCAGCUCUGGUAUCACAACAGUGAGCAAGACAAAUGGAGUUUAGAUUCUGUAAUUUUUUAAAAAAGAUAGAUAAAAAGAGACAUGCAAAAGUAAUAACAUCCACAGGGCUGCCUCCCCUCCCCCGCCCCAAUGCAGGGGGUCCGCAGCUGGUACUUGUUAGUGUCUCGGAUCAUUUCUUGGCCUCCUCAGGCCCCUUUGUUGUUUUGCCUUCCUACCCUGUGAGAGCAAGCUGUUUGUCACUCUCUCUAGUGAUAAAUGCCGUCUGAAGUGAGGUCUGCUCAUUCUGGUCAAAGCUCAUGAACCUCUGAGGAGAGGAGGCAGCCUUCACUAGCCGUUUUUCUGAAGGUUGGCCACUCCCCGGGGCUUCUAAUGAGACAAGGUGUAGAAUGCAGGCCCUUUAACCUUCUACCUGGCUUCCCCUCUGUCCUCAUGGCCUGCCUGCUCUGAAGAUAAGCAGAUACUCUCAGUAAAUCUUCCUUCAACAUCGAACAAGAAUCUUCAAUGAGUCCUCACCCAUUCAUUCACUCAAGAAAUAUUGGUAGAAAGCCACAAUGUCCAUGGUGUUAUUCUAGAUACUUGGUAUGCAGAAGCAAAACCUACUCAACCAACCAAGAAAAUCAGACUGAAAUGCCCUCUCCCAUGGAGUUUACAUCCAAAAGGAGGUGAGCCAUAAACAAAAUGAAGACAGAAGCGGGUAGUGAGUUUGAGGAAGGACCCAAGUUGAAAGAGCGAUGGUCAGGGCCCCACCAUUUGAACAGAGAACAGACAGAAAUAAAGAGUGAGCCAUGAGGAAGAGAAUUUCCAGGCAGAGGGACGUACAUGCUCAACUGUGUCUCAAAAUGGGAAGGAGGCCUGUGCAGCCAGUGUGUGUGGGGGUGGGGGGGGGUUAGAAGAGGACGUCGUGUGGCCUGAUGCUCAUCUGGUAUUUAGAGCUCCAGUGUGGGCUUGGCUAGCCACAAUCCACAGUAGGCGGACAAUAAAUGCUUCAUUUUAACUACGUUUAUUACAGUAACGAUGAGACAAAUUGGAAUUGGAAGAAUUAUUCAGAAAUUAGUUCCACCUCAAGGUCAUUUCCUAAUUAAAUGAAUCUAGCAAUUUUUCAGGUAUGAACACAUAAGAUUUUCAAGAUGGUAAAGUGUGGGGGAAAACUGUAUCUUUCAAAAACAGUGAAAUAUAGUCAUUUGAGUA
Non-coding RNA from Odocoileus virginianus texanus, 1197 nucleotides. NCBI's taxonomy places the organism in Eukaryota, Metazoa, Chordata, Mammalia, Artiodactyla, Cervidae. The record is from RefSeq and is a predicted model, not a curated record.